RNAcentral lists this ribosomal RNA (253 nucleotides) under uncultured bacterium. Its description in RNAcentral is "partial 16S ribosomal RNA". It matches the Rfam family "Bacterial small subunit ribosomal RNA", at positions 524 to 776 of the family's 1533-position model. The record is from RNAcentral.
UACGGAGGGUGCAAGCGUUGCUCGGAAUCACUGGGCGUAAAGCGCACGCAGGCGGCGGCUUAAGUCGGAUGUGAAAGCCCGGGGCUCAACCCCGGAACUGCAUUCGAAACUGGGUCGCUUGAAUACGGGAGAGGGAAGCGGAAUUCCUGGUGUAGAGGUGAAAUUCGUAGAUAUCAGGAGGAACACCAGUGGCGAAAGCGGCUUCCUGGCCCGAUAUUGACGCUGAUGUGCGAAAGCGUGGGGAGCAAACAGG